Long non-coding RNA from Galeopterus variegatus (Sunda flying lemur), 225 nucleotides. RefSeq lists it as uncharacterized. The transcript has 3 exons. The record is from RefSeq and is a predicted model, not a curated record. NCBI's taxonomy places the organism in Eukaryota, Metazoa, Chordata, Mammalia, Dermoptera, Cynocephalidae.
AGAUAGAAGCAAUUGCAGACAGACCAGAACACGCAUUUGGGGUGGACACUGGAUUCAAGGGCCUGCAAGGCAUCGUUGACAAGCUCGCGUCAAGGUUUUGUCUUGAAGUUACAUCUGCGCGUGCUACCAGUUCGUGUUUAGGAGAGCCCUACGAAGUGAUCAUUACUGGAAAAGGCUUCCAUAAUGCAAAGAGAGUCCAGGAUGUUUUUUGCAGAUUCAAGAAAA